Molecule: ribosomal RNA, 598 nt
Filed under: uncultured bacterium
Lineage: Bacteria
Description: bacterial SSU rRNA
Rfam family: Bacterial small subunit ribosomal RNA
Source: RNAcentral
CCUACGGGAGGCAGCAGUGGGGAAUAUUGGACAAUGGGCGAAAGCCUGAUCCAGCAAUGCCGCGUGAGUGAUGAAGGCCUUAGGGUUGUAAAGCUCUUUUACCCGAGAUGAUAAUGACAGUAUCGGGAGAAUAAGCUCCGGCUAACUCCGUGCCAGCAGCCGCGGUAAUACGGAGGGAGCUAGCGUUGUUCGGAAUUACUGGGCGUAAAGCGCACGUAGGCGGCUUUUUAAGUCAGGGGUGAAAUCCCGGGGCUCAACCCCGGAACUGCCCUUCGAAACUAGGGAAGCUAGAAUCUUGGAGAGGCGAGUGGAAUUCCGAGUGUAGAGGUGAAAUUACGUAGAUAUUCGGAAGAACACCAGUGGCGAAGGCGACUCGCUGGACAAGUAUUGACGCUGAGGUGCGAAAAGCGUGGGGAGCAAACAGGAUUAGAUACCCCUGGUAGUCCACGCCGUAAACGAUGAUAACUAGCUGUCCGGGUUCAUGGAACUUGGGUGGCGCAGCUAACGCAUUAAAGUUAUCCGCCUGGGGAGUACGGUCGCAAGAUUAAAACUCAAGGAAAUUGACGGCUGNGAGUUGCGACGACGACACAGGAGGAGG